This 404-nucleotide ribosomal RNA is filed under the name Brucella melitensis. Its description in RNAcentral is "partial 16S ribosomal RNA". It matches the Rfam family "Bacterial small subunit ribosomal RNA", at positions 355 to 776 of the family's 1533-position model. Lineage: Bacteria; Pseudomonadati; Pseudomonadota; Alphaproteobacteria; Hyphomicrobiales; Brucellaceae. The record is from RNAcentral. RNAcentral also lists the same sequence under 2 other names.
UGGGGAAUAUUGGACAAUGGGCGCAAGCCUGAUCCAGCCAUGCCGCGUGAGUGAUGAAGGCCCUAGGGUUGUAAAGCUCUUUCACCGGUGAAGAUAAUGACGGUAACCGGAGAAGAAGCCCCGGCUAACUUCGUGCCAGCGGCCGCGGUAAUACGAAGGGGGCUAGCGUUGUUCGGAUUUACUGGGCGUAAAGCGCACGUAGGCGGACUUUUAAGUCAGGGGUGAAAUCCCGGGGCUCAACCCCGGAACUGCCUUUGAUACUGGAAGUCUUGAGUAUGGUAGAGGUGAGUGGAAUUCCGAGUGUAGAGGUGAAAUUCGUAGAUAUUCGGAGGAACACCAGUGGCGAAGGCGGCUCACUGGACCAUUACUGACGCUGAGGUGCGAAAGCGUGGGGAGCAAACAGG